AAGGAUUUAAGUUAAAAAAACUGUCAACCUUCAAAGUUGAAAAUAUAUAAAUUAUUAUUAUAAGCCUUA
This 69-nucleotide transfer RNA is filed under the name Peltonotellus sp. RNAcentral describes it as "tRNA-Trp". Lineage: Eukaryota; Metazoa; Arthropoda; Insecta; Hemiptera; Caliscelidae. The record is from RNAcentral.